CUGGCUCAGAACGAACGCUGGUAGCGUGUCUUAUACAUGCAAGUCGAGCGGUGCAGCAAUGCAUAGCGGCGAACGGGUGAGUAACGCGUAAGCAAUCUGCCCCCUCGUUCGGGAAUAGCCGUGCCAACGCGCGGGUAAUACCGGAUAUAGUGGCCCUGGACAUCCGGGUUGACAAAGAUUUAUCGACAGGGGAUGAGCUUGCGUCCGAUUAGCUAGUUGGCGGGGCAACGGCCCACCAAGGCGACGAUCGGUAGCCGGCCUGAGAGGGUGAUCGGCCACAUUGGGACUGAGAUACGGCCCAGACUCCUACGGGAGGCAGCAGUAGGGAAUAUUGCACAAUGGGGGAAACCCUGAUGCAGCAACGCCACGUGUGGGAAGAAAGCAUUUCGGUGUGUAAACCACUGUCGUGAGGGAAUAAGGCUGAGUUUCGGCUCAGUUGAAUGUACCUCGAGAGGAAGCACCGGCAAACUUCGUGCCAGCAGCUGC
RNAcentral lists this ribosomal RNA (486 nucleotides) under uncultured bacterium. Its description in RNAcentral is "bacterial SSU rRNA". It matches the Rfam family "Bacterial small subunit ribosomal RNA", at positions 19 to 518 of the family's 1533-position model. The record is from RNAcentral.